ACGCUCGACACCUACGGGAGGAGCAGUGGGGAAUAUUGCACAAUGGGGGAAACCCUGAUGCAGCGACGCCGCGUGAAGGAAGAAGUAUCUCGGUAUGUAAACUUCUAUCAGCAGGGAAGAAAAUGACGGUAUCUGACUAAGAAGCCCCGGCUAACUACGUGCCAGCAGCCGCGGUAAGUACUGAGCGGGCGUGGCGAAGGACG
This 203-nucleotide ribosomal RNA is filed under the name uncultured bacterium. Its description in RNAcentral is "partial 16S ribosomal RNA". It matches the Rfam family "Bacterial small subunit ribosomal RNA", at positions 328 to 538 of the family's 1533-position model. The record is from RNAcentral.